RNAcentral lists this transfer RNA (77 nucleotides) under Nitrospira sp. RNAcentral's name for it is "tRNA-Ser". It matches the Rfam family "tRNA". From Rfam's summary of the family: Transfer RNA (tRNA) molecules are approximately 80 nucleotides in length. Their secondary structure includes four short double-helical elements and three loops (D, anti-codon, and T loops). Further hydrogen bonds mediate the characteristic L-shaped molecular structure. tRNAs have two regions of fundamental functional importance: the anti-codon, which is responsible for specific mRNA codon recognition, and the 3' end, to which the tRNAs corresponding amino acid is attached (by aminoacyl-tRNA synthetases). tRNAs cope with the degeneracy of the genetic code in two manners: having more than one tRNA (with a specific anti-codon) for a particular amino acid; and 'wobble' base-pairing, i.e. permitting non-standard base-pairing at the 3rd anti-codon position. The record is from RNAcentral. Lineage: Bacteria; Pseudomonadati; Nitrospirota; Nitrospiria; Nitrospirales; Nitrospiraceae.
GGCGGGGUAACUCAGGUGGACAGAGUUCGAGGCUGCUACCCUCUGAGACGCCAGUUCGAGUCUGGCCCCCGCCGCCA